Molecule: ribosomal RNA, 253 nt
Filed under: uncultured bacterium
Lineage: Bacteria
Description: partial 16S ribosomal RNA
Rfam family: Bacterial small subunit ribosomal RNA
Source: RNAcentral
UACGCAGGGUGCGAGCGUUAAUCGGAAUUACUGGGCGUAAAGCGUGCGCAGGCGGUUUUGUAAGCCAGAUGUGAAAUCCCCGGGCUUAACCUGGGAAUGGCAUUUGGGACUGCAAGGCUGGAGUUUGGCAGAGGAGACUGGAAUUCCUGGUGUAGCAGUGAAAUGCGUAGAUAUCAGGAGGAAUACCGAUGGCGAAGGCAGGUCUCUGGGCUAUAACUGACGCUCAUGCACGAAAGCGUGGGGAGCAAACAGG